This 86-nucleotide transfer RNA is filed under the name Micromonosporaceae bacterium. RNAcentral describes it as "tRNA-Ser". It matches the Rfam family "tRNA". Rfam says of the family: Transfer RNA (tRNA) molecules are approximately 80 nucleotides in length. Their secondary structure includes four short double-helical elements and three loops (D, anti-codon, and T loops). Lineage: Bacteria; Bacillati; Actinomycetota; Actinomycetes; Micromonosporales; Micromonosporaceae. The record is from RNAcentral.
GGAGGGUGGCGCCCAGUGGUGGGCAACCGGUCUUGAAAACCGGGCCGGGGUAACACCCGAGGGUUCGACUCCUUCUCCCUCCUCCA